Long non-coding RNA from Oryza sativa Japonica Group (Japanese rice), 859 nucleotides. RefSeq lists it as uncharacterized. NCBI's taxonomy places the organism in Eukaryota, Viridiplantae, Streptophyta, Magnoliopsida, Poales, Poaceae. The record is from RefSeq and is a predicted model, not a curated record.
GUGGGAGUGGAGCCGGAGCUUCGCUAGACCGUAAUUCCGCUGCUGUUUUCUUUUCUUUUAGACUAUCUUGAUGAAGGAGAAGAAGAUACUACAAGCAAAGCAUUGGCUCCUUUAUCUGAUGAUGUGAAGAAAACUCUAGGAAGUAUUUUGGAUCGGCUAGAGGCAUCAUCACUAGAUAGUUUGGUAGUUGACUGUGGCUCAAUCAGGGCUCGGCUGCAUGAGAUUCAAGCCUUAAUUCCAGAUGAAUUAGCCGAUAUCCUUACUCCAGCUGUUUACCUUGAGCAACACCAAUUCAAACUGGAGAAAGCCAAGUUAAGACUAGCCGAACGGCGAGAACGUAAGGACAUUGAAGCCACUAUCCAAGCCAACCGACAACUUGUGCAUGAAGAGAAGUCCAAGCUUGAUCAAUUAUCUGAAGGCCCAAUCAAAUCUAACAUUGAUCGGCUUGAGGCUCCCAAAAUUGAACUCUUAGCACAACUUGAAGAAUGUAAUGCUGAGCUAGAUAUGGAACACAAGAAACUGGCCGAUCUCCCAAAAUCUAUUGAAGAACAAAAAACAAGACUCAAAUCGGCUAUUAAGCAUGUUGCUGAACUGACCAAGUCCCUGAAAGUUAUCCCUGGAACCGAUGCUCACGAUGCCCAAGCCAUAGAAGAAGUAGAGCAGAUUAGGCAGAAAGCUAUAUCGGUUAUACAGCGAUACUUAUCACUGUAAUCUUAGUGCAAUAGGACUUAGAAUUCUUGUAAUCGGCUAAAACAUUCUGACUCUUCCAAAUCAUCGGCCGACAUAAAACCUUAGAAUUUCCUUUGAAAUUUGCACAGAAAAUUUUAUGAAUCUGAAAUGAAUCUGAAAAUUUUAUGAA